Molecule: ribosomal RNA, 468 nt
Filed under: uncultured bacterium
Lineage: Bacteria
Description: partial 16S ribosomal RNA
Rfam family: Bacterial small subunit ribosomal RNA
Source: RNAcentral
GACGAACGCUGGCGGCGUGCCUAACACAUGCAAGUCGAACGGAAAGGCCAUGCUUUUGUGGGGCUGUCGAUUGGCGAACGGGUGAGUAACACGUGUGUAACCUGCCCCUGAAUUUGGGAUAACAUCACGGAACUGGGGCGAAUAUCGGAUAUAAGCUCCUGCUGCAUGUUGGUGGUUGGAAAGUUUCGGCGGUUGUGGAUCGAAUCGCGGGUUAUCAGCUUGUUGGUGUGGUAGUGGCUUACCAAGGCUUUGACGGGUAGCCGGCCUGAGAGGGUUGCCGGCGACAUUGGGACUGAGAUAGGGACCAGAAUCCUACGGGCGGCAGUAGUGGGGAAUAUUGCACAAUGGGCGGAAGUCUGAUGCGGAAACGCCGGGUGCGGGAUGACGGCCUUUGGGUUGUAAACAGCUUUCGAAGGUGAUGAAGCGUGAGUGACGGUAAUGGGUAAAGAAGCACCGGCUAACUACGUG